Molecule: ribosomal RNA, 497 nt
Filed under: uncultured bacterium
Lineage: Bacteria
Description: bacterial SSU rRNA
Rfam family: Bacterial small subunit ribosomal RNA
Source: RNAcentral
GGACGAACGCUGGCGGCGUGCCUAACACAUGCAAGUCGAACGGGGUUAAGUGAAAUUUCGGAUGGAGCUUAACUUAGUGGCGGACGGGUGAGUAACGCGUGGAUAACCUGCCUCACACUGGGGGAUAGCAGCUGGAAACGGCUGGUAAUACCGCAUAAGACCACAGCACCGCAUGGUGCAGGGGUAAAAGAUUUAUCGGUGUGAGAUGGAUCCGCGUCUGAUUAGCCAGUUGGCGGGUAACGGCCACCAAAGCGACGAUCAGUAGCCGGCCUGAGAGGGUGAACGGCCACAUUGGGACUGAGACACGGCCCAAACUCCUACGGGAGGCAGCAGUGGGGAAUAUUGCACAAUGGGCGCAAGCCUGAUGCAGCAAACCGCCGCGUGAGUGAAGAAGUAUUUCGGUAUGUAAAGCUCUAUCGGCAGGGAAGAAAGGCCCUUAACAGGGAGAUGACGGUACCUGACUAAGAAGCCCCGGCUAACUACGUGCCAGCAGCCGC